Lotus japonicus is the source of this 500-nucleotide long non-coding RNA. RefSeq lists it as uncharacterized. The transcript is spliced from 2 exons. The record is from RefSeq and is a predicted model, not a curated record. Lineage: Eukaryota; Viridiplantae; Streptophyta; Magnoliopsida; Fabales; Fabaceae.
UAGAGAUGGGGCAUAGAGGUAAUAUAUGAUAAAAAAAAUCAGAGAAACAAAAACCCUAAACCCCACCCACUAAGUUUUUACGUUUUUGGGAAGAGGAGGCAGAAGACGGGAAAGAGGAAAAAUUGCUCUGCUAGGGCUUGGGAGAAGAAAGAGGAUUCCAGAGAGGAAGAGAACAAACCAUUCCAUAGAAGUUGGUUCACUCUAGUAGCACUUUUGUCCCACUCCUUAAUCCAGUGACAACUUUCAGUGGACUAGUUCUAGCAUACUAGUUUUACAAGCUCCUAGGUGGGGAAAACAAGUUACUACUUCAUUUCCUUAUGUUUUUCGAUCUUGGGAUUUAAUUUCUUUUUUAACUAUGUACCCACUUAAUUACGGGCCUAUGUUUGACACCUGGAUGCAUGGUGUUUUCAUGCCUUUAUUUUAUAGACGAUGUGAUGGUGCUCAAAUAGUGUUGAUGACAAUUCGCUUCUUUCAAUAAUAAUGAAAUUAAUUUCAUUCAA